Molecule: ribosomal RNA, 253 nt
Filed under: uncultured bacterium
Lineage: Bacteria
Description: partial 16S ribosomal RNA
Rfam family: Bacterial small subunit ribosomal RNA
Source: RNAcentral
GACAGAGGAUGCAAGCGUUAUCCGGAAUGAUUGGGCGUAAAGCGUCUGUAGGUGGCUUCUUAAGUCCGCUGUCAAAUCCCAGGGCUUAACCCUGGCCAGGCGGUGGAGACUACUAAGCUUGAGUACGGUAGGGGCAGAGGGAAUUUCCGGUGGAGCGGUGAAAUGCGUAGAGAUCGGAAAGAACACCAAGGGCGAAGGCACUCUGCUGGGCCGACACUGACACUGAGAGACGAGAGCUAGGGGAGCAAAUGGG